Molecule: unclassified non-coding RNA, 354 nt
Filed under: soil metagenome
Description: partial contains 5.8S ribosomal RNA, internal transcribed spacer 2, and large subunit ribosomal RNA
Rfam family: 5.8S ribosomal RNA (bases 1-120)
Source: RNAcentral
GAUGAAGAACGUAGCGAAAUGCGAUAAGUAGUGUGAAUUGCAGAAUUCAGUGAAUCAUCGAAUCUUUGAACGCACAUUGCGCCUCCUGGUAUUCCGGGAGGCAUGUCUGUUCGAGCGUCAUUAAAAUCACUCAAGCUUAGGUUUACCUAUUGCUUGGUCUUGGAGAUGGAAGCCAAUUUAUUGGAAUCCUCUUCGAAAUUCAAUGGCGAAGACCCUUGCUCUCCCAAGUGUAGUAAUAACUUAUGUCACUGAAGGAAGCGAGAAAUCUUCUGCCGUAACCCCCAUAUUUUCUAUGAUUGACCUCGGAUCAGGUAGGGAUACCCGCUGAACUUAAGCAUAUCAAUAAGCGGAGGA